CAACCCUCGACACCAGUCGGUUCUGAACCAGAGCGGGUGUGUGAAAACCCCGCGCUGGUUUUAAAGUUGUAAGCUCCGCUGGCCGCUCCGACCCGACCAAAACAUAGUAAGAAACAUACUUGUUGAAGGCCGAGCUGGAAACGCGGUACGGCCUGAACAAAACCUACCACACUUCUCAG
This 179-nucleotide unclassified non-coding RNA is filed under the name Gamsylella lobata. RNAcentral describes it as "partial internal transcribed spacer 2". The record is from RNAcentral. Lineage: Eukaryota; Fungi; Ascomycota; Orbiliomycetes; Orbiliales; Orbiliaceae.